CUUAGUGGCGGACGGGUGAGUAACGCGUGGGGAACCUGCCCUGUACAGGGGGAUAACACUUAGAAAUAGGUGCUAAUACCGCAUAAGCGCACAGUAUCGCAUGAUACAGUGUGAAAAACUCCGGUGGUACAGGAUGGACCCGCGUCUGAUUAGCUGGUUGGCGGGGUAACGGCCCACCAAGGCGACGAUCAGUAGCCGGCCUGAGAGGGUGGACGGCCACAUUGGGACUGAGACACGGCCCAAACUCCUACGGAAGGCAGCAG
This 263-nucleotide ribosomal RNA is filed under the name uncultured bacterium. Its description in RNAcentral is "partial 16S ribosomal RNA". It matches the Rfam family "Bacterial small subunit ribosomal RNA", at positions 91 to 354 of the family's 1533-position model. The record is from RNAcentral.